This 1292-nucleotide ribosomal RNA is filed under the name Melamphaus rubrocinctus. RNAcentral's name for it is "16S ribosomal RNA". The stretch from base 858 to 1225 matches the Rfam family "Archaeal large subunit ribosomal RNA", at positions 2151 to 2715 of the family's 2987-position model. Lineage: Eukaryota; Metazoa; Arthropoda; Insecta; Hemiptera; Pyrrhocoridae. The record is from RNAcentral.
UAAUUUUAAUUUAUUAUUUUAUUUGGUUAUGAGUUAAUUUAUUUAUCUUUCUUCUUUAAUUAAAAUAAUAUAUAGUUUAGUACUUUGUAAGGAAAUACUUAAAUAUAAUGAUAGUUUAUUGUACUGUGAAGGUUUAUUAUUUUAUUAUAAAAGCAUAAAUUUGUUUAGUACCUUUUGUAUCAGGGUUUAUUUAUUAUGGGUUAAAUAUUUUAUCAUUUCCCGAAAUUAGAAGAGAUAAGAUUAGAUGUAAGUUUAUGUAGUAAAAUAAUUUAUUAUUUAAUUUUAGUAAUUAUAUGUUAUUCAGUUUUAAAUAUCUGGUUACUUAAGAAUUAAAUUUAAUUUAAAAAUCUUAUGCUAGUUAAGUAAUAAUUUUAUUUUCCUUUAAUUUAAGAUUUAAAUAUUGUUGGGGAUUAGCUUAACUAAUAGUUAUAUAAUUUACAAUUUUGUAAUAGAUUUAUAUGUAGGUUUAAAAAUAUCCAUCUUUAUUAUUUUGUUAUAAUUAGGUAAUAUUUAUUAUGUCUUUUUUUUAUGUAAAUUUAUUUUAAUAUUAAGUGUUAUAAUUUUAUUUUGACUUUAUAGUUAUUAUGAUAAAAUAAGUAGAUUAUUAAUUUAAAUUUAGGAACUCGGCAAGUUUUAUCCUCGCCUGUUUAACAAAAACAUGUCUUAUAGUUAAUUUAUUUUAAGUCUGACCUGCUCAAUGAAUGUUUUAAUUGCUAUAGUAUUUUAACUAUACAAAGGUAGCAUAAUAAUUUGUCUUUUAAUUGGAGGCUUGUAUGAAUGGUUGGACGAAGGAUAGUCUUUCUUUUUUUGAAAUUAAAGUUGAAUUUGUAAUUUUAGUAAAAAGACUAAAAUAUAGCUGUGGGACGAGAAGACCCUAUAGAAUUUUAGCAAAUAAUUAGAAAUACUAUUUUGGGAUUAAUAAAUAGUAUUUCUAAUUAUUUGUUUUUGUUGGGGUGAUAUUAGAAAUUUACUAACUUCUAUUAUAUACUUAGUCAUAGAUUAGUGUAUUAAGGAUCCUUUAUUAUGGAUUAAAAGAUUAAAUUACCUUAGGGAUAACAGCGUUAUUAUUCUGGAAAGUUCUUAUUGAUGGAAUAGUUUGCGACCUCGAUGUUGGAUUAAAGUUAGUUUUGGGUGUAGAAGCUUAAUAAACUAGGUCUGUUCGACCUUUAAAUCUUUACAUGAUCUGAGUUCAGACCGGCGUGAGCCAGGUUGGUUUCUAUCUACAAAAUUUUAGUAGUACAGUACGAAAGGACCUACUACUUUUAAUAAUUAAUAUUUGAAUGAUUCUUAUU